UGUCAGUCAACUCUUUAUUCAAAGCAACCAAAACAGUACAGGCACAGUAAUCCCAGCAACUCUUCCCAGUAGAUCUUGCCCCAAUGAGGCAGUUGCGAGGGCUGAAGGUCCUCACCUUCCUACAGCUGCCUAUCUCCUCUCCAGUGUUUGACCCAAGCCAUUGUAGACUGCAGUUGCACACAACCAAUCUCUGCUCUGCUCUCUUCAUUCCUCCGCAUGUUCUAGGAAAACAGGCUGAAGGGGAGCUUGUUGCUGCAGGAGUGGGAGACUCCCUGGCUUCUUCAGCAGCCUGCCUCAUCUCUGCCUUUUGACCUUCCUUCUCUCUAGAAGUAAGUUCCAUUGAACAAUGAAGACAUGCAUGGGCUUGUACCAAAGGCACCAACUUGAGAGGGAGAUGGGUGUGGGUGGG
This 409-nucleotide long non-coding RNA is filed under the name Podarcis lilfordi (Lilford's wall lizard). Lineage: Eukaryota; Metazoa; Chordata; Lepidosauria; Squamata; Lacertidae. The record is from RNAcentral.